RNAcentral lists this ribosomal RNA (468 nucleotides) under uncultured bacterium. RNAcentral describes it as "partial 16S ribosomal RNA". It matches the Rfam family "Bacterial small subunit ribosomal RNA", at positions 28 to 507 of the family's 1533-position model. The record is from RNAcentral.
GACGAACGCUGGCGGCGUGCUUAACACAUGCAAGUCGAACGGAAAGGCCCUGCUUUUGUGGGGUGCUCGAGUGGCGAACGGGUGAGUAACACGUGAGUAACCUGCCCUUGACUUUGGGAUAACUUCAGGAAACUGGGGCUAAUACCGGAUAGGAGCUCCUGCAGCAUGGUGGGGGUUGGAAAGUUUCGGCGGUUGGGGAUGGACUCGCGGCUUAUCAGCUUGUUGGUGGGGUAGUGGCUUACCAAGGCUUUGACGGGUAGCCGGCCUGAGAGGGUGACCGGCGACAUUGGGACUGAGGGACGCCCCAGACUCCUACGGGAGGCAGCAGUGGGGAAUAUUGCACAAUGGGCGGAAGCCUGAUGCAGCAACGCCGCGUGCGGGAUGACGGCCUUCGGGUUGUAAACCGCUUUCGCCUGUGACGAAGCGUGAGUGACGGUAAUGGGUAAAGAAGCACCGGCUAACUACGUG